This 71-nucleotide small RNA is filed under the name Cellulophaga sp. RHA_52. Its description in RNAcentral is "Flavo-1 RNA". Lineage: Bacteria; Pseudomonadati; Bacteroidota; Flavobacteriia; Flavobacteriales; Flavobacteriaceae. The record is from RNAcentral.
UUUUUGCGUUAAGGAUAGGAGUGAAAAGCCCACAGCGUAGCGAGGACUUGUAGCGUAUAGCCUGCCCGUAG